GUGGGUUUCAAAGCUGUAAAAUCGGACACAGCGGAGGUUGGAUACGUUGCCAUUGACGACGUUGCGUAUUCUGCUGGAGUGAACUGUCACGGAGUGCGAACAGAUGAAGCUGUUUGGGGUUCCAGUCAGACUCCUGGGAUUGUUGCUUCAGUGAUCAUCGUGCUGGCUGUGGUGGUCUCCCUGACUGUGGGCCUUGUUUACUGGCAGAAGAAGCGAGUCAGUCCCCCCGGAACGUCAAGCAGGCAAUUUGGAUUCGAUAACAUGUUCUACCGCAGUCAGAACUAGGCUGGGUUGGAGGGCAGCUGAACAUGUCAUCAACAGAUACUCAACUCUCUCCGUCUCAUCUACUUUACCAGGAAGACAUCCAGAACCUGUCAAAACAUCUUGAUAACCUUCUAGGAUCUGCUGAACAGUCAAUGAUCCCUAAAAUCUCUUCUGGCUUGGUUAGGGCGUUGGUCUUGCUUCAGCUGCACUGAGGGGGACUUUGCUUUAGUUUCCUGUCUGAAGCUGGAGACCCUCCCAUUGUUUCAGGCCCUCAGAUGCAUUUGUCCUCGUAGCUUCAGUAUCACUCCAUCAGGGGAGCCUCAACCUUACGCCCAAGAGCUUCACACUUGGGUCAUCAACCUUGUGAUAGUUUACAUGGUGUCAGUGAAGGGCAUGAUGCUGCACAAAACACUGGUGUCUGUCUCAAUUGGUGUUCAUUUGAUGAUCUGCAGCCUUCAUUCUCGCAGACGCAAUAAACUAAUUCAUCAAAAUCAUUGGGUAAG
This is a non-coding RNA of Chiloscyllium plagiosum (whitespotted bambooshark), 767 nucleotides long. Lineage: Eukaryota; Metazoa; Chordata; Chondrichthyes; Orectolobiformes; Hemiscylliidae. The record is from RefSeq and is a predicted model, not a curated record.